CCUGAUUUCUGUGUCCAAUAUUUAACUGUCCGUCUUAUUUAAAAAAAUUAUAAAAAAAAUUAAAAAAACAAGUCGCGCAUAAAAUAUUAAUUAUAUUUUAUCAUCUAACAACAAUAAAAAUACGAAUUAUAAAAAAAAAUUCAUAUAAGACAGACAGUCAAAAUUGGACACGGAAAUUCAGGGUUUUAUUUUUU
This is a microRNA precursor of Oryza sativa Japonica Group (Japanese rice), 194 nucleotides long. It matches the Rfam family "MIR812 microRNA precursor family". Lineage: Eukaryota; Viridiplantae; Streptophyta; Magnoliopsida; Poales; Poaceae. The record is from Rfam.